Molecule: long non-coding RNA, 564 nt
Organism: Oncorhynchus nerka (sockeye salmon)
Lineage: Eukaryota; Metazoa; Chordata; Actinopteri; Salmoniformes; Salmonidae
Exons: 2
Source: RefSeq, a predicted model, not a curated record
CUACUACUGGCUGGGAUCAUAGGCCUGUCUGUCUACUACUAACACAACUGCAGAGAGAGACCAGCUACAGACCAGAUACAACAACCUGACGGAAGAGAGUGACCAGUUACAGACCAGAUUCAACAACCUGACUGAAGAGAGAGACCAGCUACAGACCAGAUACAACAACCUGACUGAAGAGAGAGACCAGCUACAGACCAGAUACAACAACCUGACUGAAGAGAGAGAUCAGAUACAGACCAGAAACAACAACUUGACUAAAGAGAGAGACCAGUUACAGACCAGAUACAACAACCUGACUAAAGAGAGAGACCAGUUACAGACCAGAUACAACAACCUGACGGAAGAGAGAGACCAGUUACAGACCAGAUUCAACAACCUGACUGAAGAGAGAGACCAGUUACAGACCAGAUUCAACAACCUGACCGAGGAGAGAGACCAGUUACAGACCAGAUACAACAUCCUGACUAAAGAGAAAGGCCAUAUUCAGGCAAAGCUUUUUGUGAUAGGUGAGAUAUAAUCUGUGAUAAAUUAUAAGUAAAAUAAACAGUAAUUAUAUAUCAA